CUCCAAAAACUAAAACCUAACACACCUUUUUGAGAAGACAAACAGUUCGGUGAACUAAAACUUUCAUUCUGCACGAAGUCCGAGAAAGGGCCGAACACACCCCUCUUCGAAAGACAAACAGUUCGGUGCACUAAAACUUUCAUUCUGCACGAAGUCCGAGAAAGGGCCGAACACACCCCUUCUUCGAAAGACAAACAGUUCAGUGCACUAAAGCUUUUAUUCUGCACGAAGUCCGAGAAAGGGCCGAACACACCUUCUUCAAAAGACAGACAAUUCGGUGCACUAAAACCUUCAUUCCGCAUGAAGUCCAAGAAAGGGCCGAACACACUUCCUCCGAAAGACAGACAGUUUAGUGUACUAAAACUUUCAUUCUGCACGAAGUCCAAAAGAAAGGGCCGAACACACACCUUCUCCAAAAGACAGACAGUUCAGUACAUUAAAACUUUUAUUUUGC
RNAcentral lists this long non-coding RNA (454 nucleotides) under Capsicum annuum. RNAcentral's name for it is "long non-coding RNA (CANN_LNC019952)". Lineage: Eukaryota; Viridiplantae; Streptophyta; Magnoliopsida; Solanales; Solanaceae. The record is from RNAcentral.